ACACGCAUGACACACUGCAUAUCAAUAAGCGGGAGGAAAAGAAACUAACUAGGAUUCCCUCAGUAACGGCGAGUGAAGCGGGAAGAGCUCAAAUUUGAAAUCUUCAAGGUUCUACCUUGACGAAUUGUAGUUUAAAGAAGUGUUUUCUGUUGGAUGUUUUGGUAAAAGUUCUUUGGAAUAGGACAUCAUAGAGGGUGAGAAUCCCGUACUUGACCAUUACUUUCCAGCUGUUGUGAUACACUUUCAAAGAGUCGGAUUGUUUGGGAAUGCAGUCCAAAAUGGGUGGUAAAUUUCAUCUAAAGCUAAAUAUUGGCGAGAGACCGAUAGCGAACAAGUACCGUGAGGGAAAGAUGAAAAGAACUUUGAAAAGAGAGUUAAACAGUACGUGAAAUUGUCAAAAGGGAAGCGUUUGACACCAGUGUUGUUUUCUCGAAAAUCAAUUAAAAAGAGUUGGAUUUUGUAUUGUUAAGACCUUAUCAGCUUACUGUACUUUUUUCUUGCUCUUUUUAAUGCACUUUUCGUUUAACAAGUCAACAUCAAUUUCUUUUGUUGUAAAAGGGUCAUUGGAAGGUGGCUUUCACUUCGGUGAAAGUGUUUAUAGCCUUUGGCUUCUACAAUCGGAGAGAUUGAGGUCUGCAGCGUAGAUCCUUCGGGGUUAGAUACGUAGAUGCUAAGUUAUAGUUUUUUAUAGACAACUUGUUGACUAUGAUUAAUCAUGUAGCUUACUCGUUUACGCUAUUUUACCUACGCUUAGGAUGUUGACUGAUAUGUAGUCGUA
This 778-nucleotide ribosomal RNA is filed under the name uncultured Neocallimastigales. RNAcentral describes it as "partial large subunit ribosomal RNA". It matches the Rfam family "Eukaryotic large subunit ribosomal RNA", at positions 23 to 644 of the family's 3401-position model. The record is from RNAcentral. Lineage: Eukaryota; Fungi; Neocallimastigomycota; Neocallimastigomycetes; Neocallimastigales.